This 496-nucleotide ribosomal RNA is filed under the name uncultured bacterium. Its description in RNAcentral is "partial 16S ribosomal RNA". It matches the Rfam family "Bacterial small subunit ribosomal RNA", at positions 29 to 507 of the family's 1533-position model. The record is from RNAcentral.
AUGAACGCUGGCGGCGUGCCUAAUACAUGCAAGUCGAGCGAACAGACGAGGUGCUUGCUCCUCUGACGUUAGCGGCGGACGGGUGAGUAACACGUGGAUAACCUACCUAUAAGACUGGGAUAACUUCGGGAAACCGGAGCUAAUACCGGAUAAUAUAUUGAACCGCAUGGUUCAAUAGUGAAAGACGGUUUUGCUGUCACUUAUAGAUGGAUCCGCGCCGCAUUAGCUAGUUGGUAAGGUAACGGCUUACCAAGGCAACGAUGCGUAGCCGACCUGAGAGGGUGAUCGGCCACACUGGAACUGAGACACGGUCCAGACUCCUACGGGAGGCAGCAGUAGGGAAUCUUCCGCAAUGGGCGAAAGCCUGACGGAGCAACGCCGCGUGAGUGAUGAAGGUCUUCGGAUCGUAAAACUCUGUUAUUAGGGAAGAACAAAUGUGUAAGUAACUAUGCACGUCUUGACGGUACCUAAUCAGAAAGCCACGGCUAACUACGUG